GACGAACGCUGGCGGCGGGCUUAACACAUGCAAGUCGAACGGAAAGGCCCUGCUUUUGUGGGGUGCUCGAGUGGCGAACGGGUGAGUAACACGUGAGUAACCUGCCCUUGACUUUGGGAUAACUUCAGGAAACUGGGGCUAAUACCGGAUAGGAGCUCCUGCUGCAUGGUGGGGGUUGGAAAGUCUCGGCGGUUGGGGAUGGACUCGCGGCUUAUCAGCUUGUUGGUGGGGUAGGGGCUUACCAAGGCUUUGACGGGUAGCCGGCCUGAGAGGGUGACCGGCCACAUUGGGACUGAGAUACGGCCCAGACUCCUACGGGAGGCAGCAGUGGGGAAUAUUGCACAAUGGGCGGAAGCCUGAUGCAGCAACGCCGCGUGCGGGAUGACGGCCUUCGGGUUGUAAACCGCUUUCGCCUGUGACGAAGCGUGAGUGACGGUAAUGGGUGAAGAAGCACCGGCUAACUACGUG
Molecule: ribosomal RNA, 468 nt
Filed under: uncultured bacterium
Lineage: Bacteria
Description: partial 16S ribosomal RNA
Rfam family: Bacterial small subunit ribosomal RNA
Source: RNAcentral